This is a non-coding RNA of Mycena filopes, 91 nucleotides long. The record is from the annotation of a GenBank genome assembly. NCBI's taxonomy places the organism in Eukaryota, Fungi, Basidiomycota, Agaricomycetes, Agaricales, Mycenaceae.
UCGGGUGUGGUGCACGGUGCACAACAGCAUCUUGUUGGCCAUGUUGAAGAAGUCUUAGCUGCAGCUCGGGGUUCGACUCCCCGCACCCGAA